This 477-nucleotide ribosomal RNA is filed under the name Triticum aestivum (bread wheat). RNAcentral describes it as "partial small subunit ribosomal RNA". Lineage: Eukaryota; Viridiplantae; Streptophyta; Magnoliopsida; Poales; Poaceae. The record is from RNAcentral.
CUGCAUCAAAAUAAAAAACAAGCGGUGCUUAUGAAAAUUGAUAUAUCCAAAGCCUUCGAUACUCUCUCCUGGGGGUUUCUGUUGCAAGUGUUAAAGGCCAGAGGUUUUGGGGACAGGUGGUGCUCGUGGAUUUGUGUUUUGCUGAGAUCUUCCUCUUCUUCGGUGCUUAUCAAUGGGGAGCUCAGCGACUCAUUCGCUCUGGGGCAGGGUGUUCGUCAAGGGGACCCACUGUCCCCGGCUCUGUUUAUUCUUGCCAUGGAUGUGCUUCAAGGAAUGCUUCGAUGGGCUGACCAGCGGAGGGUACUGUCGGACUUCGGUUUGGGCUCUGAGGUGCCCAGGGCCUCCAUUUUUGCUGAUGAUGUGGUAAUCUUCUUCAGGCCACACACAAACGACCUACAGGCAAUUUCUGCCAAACUCCAACUCUUCGGACAAGCUUUUGGUCUGCACAUUAAUCUUCACAAAAGCUCUACCACAUGA